AGGACGAACGCUGGCGGCGUGCUUAACACAUGCAAGUCGAGCGGUAAGGCCCUUCGGGGUACACGAGCGGCGAACGGGUGAGUAACACGUGGGUAACCUGCCCUGUACUCUGGGAUAAGCCUGGGAAACUAGGUCUAAUACCGGAUGCGACUGGCCACCGCAUGGUGGCUGGUGGAAAGUUCCGGCGGUAUGGGAUGGACCCGCGGCCUAUCAGCUUGUUGGUGAGGUAACGGCUUACCAAGGCGACGACGGGUA
This 255-nucleotide ribosomal RNA is filed under the name uncultured bacterium. RNAcentral describes it as "partial small subunit ribosomal RNA". It matches the Rfam family "Bacterial small subunit ribosomal RNA", at positions 26 to 285 of the family's 1533-position model. The record is from RNAcentral.